AUGUUGAGCGGUCUUUUUUCCCAAAACAAAAUUUUGGUUACUUUUAGUUUCCUUCUCAGACUCGCUCUCUCUGUCGUCUCUCUCUCGAGCUCUCCGUCUCUCUCUCUAUCUCUCUGGACCCCCUCUCUCUCUCGAGGUGAUUAGAGCUUCAGAUUGUUGCUUCAACUCUUCUUCUUCGAUUAAUUGGUCAGAAGAACAAUUUUGGUCCAAGUCGAGUGAGAAUGAUGAUGAAACUUUAAAUGAAGAGGGACAAUCAAAGCAUAGCACUCUGAUGGUGCAUCUGAUGGUGUCUAGCAGACUAGUAAUCUGAGAGACUGAAUCCAGACCACUGGAGGCUUAGGGUGAGACGAUGACAUGAUGGAGAGGAUGGAGCUUGAACUUUUACUAUUUAUUUUUUAAAUUUCAGUUAAUUGUGAUACUUUAACACUUGUUUUGCUGGUUGUGGAUACACCAUUGUGGGGUGUUUGGAUUUUGAAAUUGUUAAAUUUGGUUACGAGGAUUUUCUUGUUUAGCAACUAUAUGAAUCAUGUUUUAUAUUUAUUAUUAGCACUGGUUGUGAGCC
Molecule: long non-coding RNA, 562 nt
Organism: Daucus carota subsp. sativus
Lineage: Eukaryota; Viridiplantae; Streptophyta; Magnoliopsida; Apiales; Apiaceae
Exons: 4
Source: RefSeq, a predicted model, not a curated record